UGCUCUCACCCUUCAUUUCUCGUCAUUAUUAUUACUAUUUUCCUAUUUUCUUUCUUCCUUUUUACUCCAAUUUUCACUUCUUUGGUGUUCAACUUCUCCAAAUCUUUUAUGUCUGCAACCAGAUCUUCAAAAUCAGAUACAUCAAUGGCGGGUUCACCCAUCAAAAACCCUUAAGUUUUCUUCUGUAAGCUAUAGCUUUCUGUUCCAAACACAUAAAGACCCCAUUUGUGAUGCAUGAUCUUAUGUGACACAAUUGUUUUCAUAAUCUAUGAUCAUUUUCUUUAGUUACUUGUUAUUAUGAUAUGGGUAGACUAAGUUUAAGUGGUUUUUAUGGUGGGUUAGGGUUUCUUGACAGCAGGUUACCAAUAUGUGGUUCUUGGUGCUGUAGUUACUAGUUAUUUUCUGUUUGAUAUUAAGUUUGUUUUCAACUUUAUUUUCCUUAAAAUCAUCGAAUAGUUUGAUUUUUUUAGCUGAUAAAAGGCUAAAUUAUUCUUACUUGCACAAAUAGAAAGAUCAUCCUGUCUUUAUUUAUUUAUUUUUUUUUUUUUUGCAAUUAUUGGCUUCAACUUUAUUCUAAAAUUAUAAUUAUUUAGGGCUUAAUUAGAUUACAAGAUUUAGACUGUCCCCAAAUUCACUCCAUUAUUGUUGUUGGAAUUAUUUUAAUUUUGUAAUAAAAUUUUAAUAUUUAAUUUUCUGGAACCCUGAAUUAGUGGUUUAAUCAUACGUUCUCUCUAGGGUUUUCUUGGACACUUUUAAAACUUAUAUUUUUUUUUCAUUAUUUUCAUUUCGUUAGAAACAUCUAGCCCGAUUAACCCUAGGGUUAAAUUCUUUAUGAACUGGAGUUACAUAUGUAUUCAUAUGUUUGUUUACAUCUUUGUAUAUUUUAUUGAA
RNAcentral lists this long non-coding RNA (891 nucleotides) under Helianthus annuus (common sunflower). RNAcentral describes it as "hypothetical non coding rna". Lineage: Eukaryota; Viridiplantae; Streptophyta; Magnoliopsida; Asterales; Asteraceae. The record is from RNAcentral.